Small nucleolar RNA from Lachancea thermotolerans CBS 6340, 107 nucleotides. NCBI's taxonomy places the organism in Eukaryota, Fungi, Ascomycota, Saccharomycetes, Saccharomycetales, Saccharomycetaceae. The record is from RefSeq and is a predicted model, not a curated record.
CACUCGUGAUGAACGAACAUGCGUGAACAAUCUCUGAGCAGGCAAUGCUUGCAGAGGAUUAAAAAACUUGUUGCCUUCCUUCUGAUGUGCAAAGAACAAACCUUUUU